RNAcentral lists this ribosomal RNA (495 nucleotides) under uncultured bacterium. Its description in RNAcentral is "partial 16S ribosomal RNA". It matches the Rfam family "Bacterial small subunit ribosomal RNA", at positions 29 to 506 of the family's 1533-position model. The record is from RNAcentral.
AUGCACGCUGGCGGCGUGCCUCAUACAUGCAAGUCGCGCGAACAGAUAAGGAGCUUGCUCCUUUGACGUUAGCGGCGGACGGGUGAGUAACACGUGGGUAACCUACCUAUAAGACUGGAAUAACUCCGGGAAACCGGGGCUAAUGCCGGAUAACAUUUAGAACCGCAUGGUUCUAAAGUGAAAGAUGGUUUUGCUAUCACUUAUAGAUGGACCCGCGCCGUAUUAGCUAGUUGGUAAGGUAACGGCUUACCAAGGCAACGAUACGUAGCCGACCUGAGAGGGUGAUCGGCCACACUGGAACUGAGACACGGUCCAGACUCCUACGGGAGGCAGCAGUAGGGAAUCUUCCGCAAUGGGCGAAAGCCUGACGGAGCAACGCCGCGUGAGUGAUGAAGGUCUUCGGAUCGUAAAACUCUGUUAUUAGGGAAGAACAAAUGUGUAAGUAACUGUGCACGUCUUGACGGUACCUAAUCAGAAAGCCACGGCUAACUACGU